AUUGAACGCUGGCGGCAGGCCUAACACAUGCAAGUCGAGCGGAUGAAGGGAGCUUGCUCCUGGAUUCAGCGGCGGACGGGUGAGUAAUGCCUAGGAAUCUGCCUGGUAGUGGGGGAUAACGUCCGGAAACGGGCGCUAAUACCGCAUACGUCCUGAGGGAGAAAGUGGGGGAUCUUCGGACCUCACGCUAUCAGAUGAGCCUAGGUCGGAUUAGCUAGUUGGUGAGGUAAAGGCCUACCAAGGCGACGAUCCGUAACUGCUCUGAGAGGAUGAUCAGUCACACUGGAACUGAGACACGGUCCAGACUCCUACGGGAGGCAGCAGUAGGGAAUAUUGGACAAUGGGCGAAAGCCUGAUGCAGCCAUGCCGCGUGUGUGAAGAAGGUCUUCGGAUUGUAAAGCACUGUUAGUUGGGAGGAAGGGCAGUAUGUUAAUCCCUUGCUGUCUUGACGUUACCAACAGAAUAAGCACCGGCUAACUACGUG
This 484-nucleotide ribosomal RNA is filed under the name uncultured bacterium. RNAcentral describes it as "partial 16S ribosomal RNA". It matches the Rfam family "Bacterial small subunit ribosomal RNA", at positions 30 to 507 of the family's 1533-position model. The record is from RNAcentral.